AUGUAAAUGGUUACGGAUAUCUCAAAUUUUAUCCAAAUUCGAAGCUGAACGGAUUAAAUUUAUUUUAUGUUAAAUAAAUAUAAUUUUAGAUAUAAAUAUUAAAAAUAAAAAUUUGAUAGAUAUGAAUUUUGAUUGUACCCGAUCUGAAUUCAAACCCUAUUCGAAUUCGACUUGAAUCUGAAUUUAUUUUACAUUAUAUAUAAUAUGUAUAUAUAAAUUUAAUAUUAUAUAAUAUGUAUAUGAAAAUUUAAUAUUAUAUAAUAUGUAUAUGAAAUGAGAAAUAAUUGUUUUGGUUUCAAAUUUUUGAGUUCGGAUUUGGAUUUGGAUAUGAAUUUUUAAAAUCCGUUGGGUUGAAAUUCAGGUUUUGGGUUGAGAUUCAAGUUUGGAGUCGGGUUGGGGUUCGGAGUCGGGUUGGGGUUCGGAUUUUUAAAAAUCCACCCGAAAUCCGCCCCGUUGACAUUCCUAAACAAAAGAG
RNAcentral lists this long non-coding RNA (475 nucleotides) under Ananas comosus (pineapple). RNAcentral describes it as "long non-coding RNA (ACOM_LNC011589)". The record is from RNAcentral. Lineage: Eukaryota; Viridiplantae; Streptophyta; Magnoliopsida; Poales; Bromeliaceae.